GACGUAGGGCGCGAGCGUUGUCCGGAUUUAUUGGGCGUAAAGAGCUCGUAGGCGGCUUGUCGCGUCGACUGUGAAAACCCGCGGCUCAACUGCGGGCCUGCAGCCGAUACGGGCAGGCUAGAGUUCGGUAGGGGAGACUGGAAUUCCCGGUGUAGCGGCGAAAUGUGUAGAGAUCGGGAGGAACACCGGUGGCGAAGGCGGGUCUCUGGGCAUUCCCUGACGCUGAGGCGCGAAAGCGUGGGGAGCAAACGGG
Molecule: ribosomal RNA, 253 nt
Filed under: uncultured bacterium
Lineage: Bacteria
Description: partial 16S ribosomal RNA
Rfam family: Bacterial small subunit ribosomal RNA
Source: RNAcentral